This 72-nucleotide transfer RNA is filed under the name Bos taurus (domestic cattle). It matches the Rfam family "tRNA". From Rfam's summary of the family: Transfer RNA (tRNA) molecules are approximately 80 nucleotides in length. Their secondary structure includes four short double-helical elements and three loops (D, anti-codon, and T loops). Further hydrogen bonds mediate the characteristic L-shaped molecular structure. tRNAs have two regions of fundamental functional importance: the anti-codon, which is responsible for specific mRNA codon recognition, and the 3' end, to which the tRNAs corresponding amino acid is attached (by aminoacyl-tRNA synthetases). tRNAs cope with the degeneracy of the genetic code in two manners: having more than one tRNA (with a specific anti-codon) for a particular amino acid; and 'wobble' base-pairing, i.e. permitting non-standard base-pairing at the 3rd anti-codon position. Lineage: Eukaryota; Metazoa; Chordata; Mammalia; Artiodactyla; Bovidae. The record is from Rfam by way of RNAcentral. RNAcentral also lists the same sequence under 1 other name.
UCCCCGGUGGCUCAGAUGGUAAAGCGUCUGUCUACAAUGCAGGAGACCUGGGUUCGAUCCCUAGGUGGGGAA